UACGUGGGUCCCGAGCGUUGUCCGGAUUUAUUGGGCGUAAAGCGAACGCAGGUGGUUUAUUAAGUCUGGUGUAAAAGGCAGUGGCUCAACCAUUGUAUGCAUUGGAAACUGGUAGACUUGAGUGCAGGAGAGGAGAGUGGAAUUCCAUGUGUAGCGGUGAAAUGCGUAGAUAUAUGGAGGAACACCGGUGGCGAAAGCGGCUCUCUGGCCUGUAACUGACACUGAGGCUCGAAAGCGUGGGGAGCAAACAGG
RNAcentral lists this ribosomal RNA (252 nucleotides) under uncultured bacterium. RNAcentral's name for it is "partial 16S ribosomal RNA". It matches the Rfam family "Bacterial small subunit ribosomal RNA", at positions 524 to 776 of the family's 1533-position model. The record is from RNAcentral.